This 496-nucleotide ribosomal RNA is filed under the name uncultured bacterium. RNAcentral's name for it is "partial 16S ribosomal RNA". It matches the Rfam family "Bacterial small subunit ribosomal RNA", at positions 29 to 507 of the family's 1533-position model. The record is from RNAcentral.
AUGCACGCUGGCGGCGUGCCUAAUACCUGCCAGUCGCGCGAACAGACGAGGAGCUUGCUCCUCUGACGUUAGCGGCGGCCGGGUGAGUAACCCGUGGAUAACCUACCUAUAAGACUGGGAUAACUUCGGGAAACCGGAGCUAAUACCGGAAAAUAUAUUUAACCGCAUGGUUCAAUAGUGAAAGACGGUUUUGCUGUCACUUAUAGAUGGAUCCGCGCCGCAUUAGCUAGUUGGUAAGGUAACGGCUUACCAAGGCAACGAUGCGUAGCCGACCUGAGAGGGUGAUCGGCCACACUGGAACUGAGACACGGUCCAGACUCCUACGGGAGGCAGCAGUAGGGAAUCUUCCGCAAUGGGCGAAAGCCUGACGGAGCAACGCCGCGUGAGUGAUGAAGGUCUUCGGAUCGUAAAACUCUGUUAUUAGGGAAGAACAAAUGUGUAAGUAACUAUGCACGUCUUGACGGUACCUAAUCAGAAAGCCACGGCUAACUACGUG